UACGUAGGGGGCGAGCGUUGUCCGGAUUUAUUGGGCGUAAAGCGCGCGUAGGCGGCCCGUUAAGUCGGAUGUGAAAACCCGGGGCUCAACCCCGGGCCUGCAUUCGAUACUGGCGGGCUCGAGGCAGGCAGGGGAGAGUGGAAUUCCUGGUGUAGCGGUGAAAUGCGCAGAUAUCAGGAGGAACACCGGUGGCGAAGGCGGCUCUCUGGGCCUGUCCUGACGCUCAGGCGCGAAAGCUAGGGGAGCAAACAGG
RNAcentral lists this ribosomal RNA (253 nucleotides) under uncultured bacterium. Its description in RNAcentral is "partial 16S ribosomal RNA". It matches the Rfam family "Bacterial small subunit ribosomal RNA", at positions 524 to 776 of the family's 1533-position model. The record is from RNAcentral.